UGGUGGUGGUGGUGGUAGCAGCGGUAGCGGUGGCUCUGGGCUCCUCUACAAAAACAAAAGUUAAAAAAAAACACACAAAAAGUAAAAAAAUAAAAUAAAAAAAAUAAAAAUCACUAUAUACACACAUAUAAAAGAAAAAAGUCUCAGUUGCAGCUAUUUGUCAAGAUUAAUACCUGUUUCUUUUUAUAUAUGGUAAAUAUUGUGCAAUUAUAGCUCUGGAGUUUGAACCACUUCCCGAAAGCAGCACCGACCACGUGAAGGUGCUUGCCUUCUCUGCUGAUUUGGCUGUUCCCAAUGUUUACAUAAUUUCAUCUGUGCACUUGGAUGUGACAUGCGGUCUAGUCCAGUUUUUUUUUUUUAAUGUUGUUUAUUCUUGGAUGUACAAAAGAAAAUUGGGGGCAGGGGAAUGACCUCUGUAGAUACUGUUGUACUUGGGUCAUCUUUGAAUGAACCCCAUUUUAAAGCAGAAAGUAACUUUUCUACGGACUGAUGCUUUGGGAAGGCCCCUUCCUGGUCUUGUUUUCGAGAGACAACUGAAAAGCUUGCGCUUCUUUGUUGCAGUACAGCUCUUUGCCCAGGUUAACACCAACAGUGGGUUUUAUAUGUCAG
This 609-nucleotide long non-coding RNA is filed under the name Mus musculus (house mouse). RNAcentral describes it as "long non-coding RNA chr4:138457014-138457623". Lineage: Eukaryota; Metazoa; Chordata; Mammalia; Rodentia; Muridae. The record is from RNAcentral.